AAAACUUGUCAAAGGAGACGCCUGCUAGUUUCUGGCAAAAUCAGACAAAUAAAAGAAUCAAAGACAAACAGAAAAACAAUGUUCUGAUCGACACAUUACCAGUUUUUGCUCUGUGGGUAAAUUCACACUAUGACUGGUCAGUGACAAAAUUCAGACAAUGAAACCCACAGAAAAAGCUUCAAUUGCGUUACGUAUGACAGUCGAUUGCACAUGGUGAAAUACGUGCAAUUGAGAAAGUACCACACCAACAAACAUCAGGCUAGUUGAGUCUCAAACUCCAAGUAAUGAACUCAAAAUGCCUCUGAUAAACAGAAUUUAAAAUUUUAAGAUUAGACACUAGGACAAAUUGGGGCAAAUUGAGCCAAAAAGACCAAAUAAAGCCUUCCCAUCCGACAAGCAGCAAGCAAGCAAGUAAAGUUGCAAUUCAAGUAGGGGACAUGUACAAAUGCGUAUGAUUAUAUGUCAGAUUGCGCAAAAUGAAACCACAUCCAAUGGACCAUGUUGUGACCAAAAAAAUGUUUAGAAAAACCUUAUAAAAAGCAUACAUAGCAGGGCAAGAAGAAGUGUACCUGUUCAUUGGUGAUUCAAGUGAGCCUCUACGUUCCCUUGCCAAAAAAUUUAGACAGCAUGACAAGAUCCAUCUAACCAUGCAGUUGCUUGCCUCUCCGCAUGCCAGAUAAAACUGACAAUAGGCUAGCUGAGAGACAAAAUCCAUGGAAUGAACUCAAAAUGCCCUGAUCUUCAAAAUUUGCAAUUUUAACCUAGGACAAUUUCAGACAAAAAAAACCCAAAAAGGCUUCGUUCCUCUGUAAAACAAAGAAUGAGAAAAAAAAAGGGAUGCCAAAGUACAGUUUUGCAAUUCCAGUCGAAAGUAAAUGCAAUUUCAAUUCAUGUGACAUCCGGUGUGCAUAGUGGACUAAGAAGUGCAAUUGAGAUAAAAGAUCAGAAAAGGGCAAGCAUUGUGAUAAUUAAAAAAAGGUGAUGCAAUUUAAGGAGGAGGCAGCUGCAAAUUGCAUGAGGCUACAUACUAGAUUGCGCAAAAUAAAGUACAUGCAAAUUAACCAUGUUGUGACUAGUAAAAUCAGAGUCAAAAAAUUUAGGGACAAAAUGCAGUGAUGCAAUUCAAUAAGGAGACAGAUGUAAAAUCAAAUUGCAAUUCAUAAAAAGAAACCCGGUUGCGAG
RNAcentral lists this long non-coding RNA (1182 nucleotides) under Brachypodium distachyon (stiff brome). Its description in RNAcentral is "long non-coding RNA (BDIS_LNC003465)". Lineage: Eukaryota; Viridiplantae; Streptophyta; Magnoliopsida; Poales; Poaceae. The record is from RNAcentral.